UACGUAGGGGGCAAGCGUUGUCCGGAUUUAUUGGGCGUAAAGAGCGCGUAGGCGGAUCGCUAAGUCAGGGGUGAAAUCCCAGGGCUCAACCCUGGAACUGCCUUUGAUACUGACGAUCUGGAGAUCGGGAGAGGUUGGUGGAAUUCCGAGUGUAGAGGUGAAAUUCGUAGAUAUUCGGAGGAACACCAGAAGCGAAGGCGGCCAACUGGCCCGAUACUGACGCUGAGGCGCGAAAGCGUGGGGAGCAAACAGG
This 253-nucleotide ribosomal RNA is filed under the name uncultured bacterium. RNAcentral describes it as "partial 16S ribosomal RNA". It matches the Rfam family "Bacterial small subunit ribosomal RNA", at positions 524 to 776 of the family's 1533-position model. The record is from RNAcentral.